Molecule: transfer RNA, 75 nt
Filed under: Euryarchaeota archaeon ADurb.Bin023
Lineage: Archaea; Methanobacteriati; Methanobacteriota
Also listed under: 1 other name
Description: tRNA-Gly
Rfam family: tRNA
About the family: Transfer RNA (tRNA) molecules are approximately 80 nucleotides in length. Their secondary structure includes four short double-helical elements and three loops (D, anti-codon, and T loops).
Source: RNAcentral
GCGACUGUAGUCUAGUGGUUAGGACUGGAGCUUCCCAAGCUUCAAGCGUGGGUUCGAAUCCCGCCAGUCGCACCA